This 72-nucleotide transfer RNA is filed under the name Acidobacteriota bacterium. RNAcentral describes it as "Acidobacteria bacterium (wastewater metagenome) tRNA-Gln". It matches the Rfam family "tRNA". Rfam says of the family: Transfer RNA (tRNA) molecules are approximately 80 nucleotides in length. The record is from RNAcentral. Lineage: Bacteria; Pseudomonadati; Acidobacteriota.
UGAGAGAUCGUCCAAUUGGCAGGACUGCGGAUUCUGACUCCGCCAAUCGUGGUUCAAAUCCACGUCUCUCAG